Schizosaccharomyces pombe (fission yeast) is the source of this 589-nucleotide non-coding RNA. Lineage: Eukaryota; Fungi; Ascomycota; Schizosaccharomycetes; Schizosaccharomycetales; Schizosaccharomycetaceae. The record is from the annotation of a GenBank genome assembly.
AAUAAAAUGUAUUAAAUCAUCUCAUAUUCAUAUAACGAUCAGUUCUUUUGACCGUCGCGAUAAUACCGCCGAGCCUUAAAUUUCCUAGAGAUAGAAAUUGAAAUUUCAUUCCUGCUAUAAUCUGUAACUCUCUACACACUGCGCAUCUCGUAGAUCUUGAUAUACUUUGAGAUCCCCGUAUUCGGCUCAGCUUUGUAAUCUAAAGAUACCGCGGAGUGAAUGUUGGCCGAACUUGGUGUAGCCGAAAAUGAAAGAGGAAAUAAAGAUGUGUCGCAAAGCCAACACAGUGAUCUAUCGUAUUUGUUGGUAUUGAAUAGUCCGAUCCAGUUUACAAUGUUGAUGCAAAAAGCCCAGGAAAUGCAGUAAAUACAUAACUUGGAAAGUGAUUAUAAAAUCGGAGAAAGAAUUCAUAGUGACUUAUAAAAAUAAAGACGUUCGGUAUAGAACAAAGCAUCUAUUGAUUCACUGUGAUGUAAGGAACGUGUUUAAAUGAAUAAUAAAAAAGCAGUUAACGAUAUAGCCAAAUACAAAAGUUGAAUCAAAUAAGCUAAUAUUAUAUUUUUCGCACUUCUCGGUAAAUGAUAUCGCC